RNAcentral lists this unclassified non-coding RNA (580 nucleotides) under Hevea brasiliensis (rubber tree). Lineage: Eukaryota; Viridiplantae; Streptophyta; Magnoliopsida; Malpighiales; Euphorbiaceae. The record is from RNAcentral.
GGCUUUUAUAGUUACGUUACGACCAUUACAGACCUGUUUUCGUUACCCGUGAUGACAAUCUUGAUUUAAAUCCAUGAACUCAACUCAUGAUUAAACACGCCAAGACAAUUUCUAGCACAAAAACUAUGCACAAAUGUCAUGACCAGUUUCCAAGAACCAACUUAGCUUGAGGUUGCCAAAUUGGGCCCCUUUUUUACCCUAGUAUCAAUUAAGAAUAGUAAGAAACAAAUGCAAAGACAAUAUAUCAGUCUAAGUGGUUGGUAGGUUCUUAGUUCUCCCAUGGUAUCAAGGACUUGAGUCUUUAUAUGCAUGUUUUCAACAUUUUCUUAUCAAAAAUUACAAAUUGAUACUAUUAAUUGUUUCUAGCCACACUCAAGUUAUUGUAGUACUAGAAAAGGAAGAAAAGCUCAUGCACUUCCUCUAAUGAGCCCAUCAACUUAGCCAAAGAAGAAAUACAAUGGACAAUGCUUUGAGGCACCAAAAUAUAUGUCAAAGCCAUGCAAACAGUAGCAAAUUAGAUCAGGUCGAGCAAGCAGUCUAGCCCAUGUCUUAGGUAUAAUUAUUAAAGGCUAAAGGUGCG